GAACGCACCUUGCGCUCCUUGGUAUUCCGAGGAGCAUGCCUGUUUGAGUGUCAUUUAACUUCUCAACCACACUUGAUUUGUGUGGCUUUGGAUAUGGGGGUUUCUGCGGGCUUUCUUGUGUGAAAGAAGGUCGGCUCCCCUGAAAUUGAUUAGCGGUACCUUUGUGGAACUGUCUACAGGUGUGAUAAUUAUCUACAUCCUAGACAUCUGCUGGAAUGCUGCUUUCUAAACCUUACUUGUAUUGACAAUCUUGACCUCAAAUCAGGUAGGACUACCCGCUGAACUUAAG
Molecule: unclassified non-coding RNA, 289 nt
Filed under: uncultured Inocybe
Lineage: Eukaryota; Fungi; Basidiomycota; Agaricomycetes; Agaricales; Cortinariaceae
Description: sequence contains 5.8S rRNA gene
Rfam family: 5.8S ribosomal RNA (bases 1-53)
Source: RNAcentral